GACGAACGCUGGCGGCGUGCUUAACACAUGCAAGUCGAACGGAAAGGCCCUGCUUUUGUGGUGUGCUCGAGUGGCGAACGGGUGAGUAACACGUGAGUAACCUGCCCUUGACUUUGGGAUAACUUCAGGAAACUGGGGCUAAUACCGGAUAGGAGCUCCUGCUGCAUGGUGGGGGUUGGAAAGUUUCGGCGGUUGGGGAUGGACUCGCGGCUUAUCAGCUUGUUGGUGGGGUAGUGGCUUACCAAGGCUUUGACGGGUAGCCGGCCUGAGGGGGUGACCGGCCACAUUGGGACUGAGAUACGGACCAGACUCCUACGGGAGGCAGCAGUGGGGAAUAUUGCACAGUGGGCGGAAGCCUGAUGCAGCAACGCCGCGUGCGGGAUGACGGCCUUCGGGUUGUAAACCGCUUUCGCCUGUGACGAAGCGUGAGUGACGGUAAUGGGUAAAGAAGCACCGGCUAACUACGUG
This 468-nucleotide ribosomal RNA is filed under the name uncultured bacterium. Its description in RNAcentral is "partial 16S ribosomal RNA". It matches the Rfam family "Bacterial small subunit ribosomal RNA", at positions 28 to 507 of the family's 1533-position model. The record is from RNAcentral.